UACGGGGGGGGCAAGCGUUGUUCGGAAUUACUGGGCGUAAAGGGCUCGUAGGCGGCCAACUAAGUCAGACGUGAAAUCCCUCGGCUUAACCGGGGAACUGCAUCUGAUACUGGAUGGCUUGAGUUCGGGAGAGGGAUGCGGAAUUCCAGGUGUAGCGGUGAAAUGCGUAGAUAUCAAGAGGAACACCAGUGGCGAAGGCGAGUCCCUGGACAAUACCUGACACUGAGGCACGAAAGCCAAGGGAGCAAACAGG
This 253-nucleotide ribosomal RNA is filed under the name uncultured bacterium. RNAcentral's name for it is "partial 16S ribosomal RNA". It matches the Rfam family "Bacterial small subunit ribosomal RNA", at positions 524 to 776 of the family's 1533-position model. The record is from RNAcentral.